AGUGAACGCUGGCGGCAGGCCUAAUACAUGCAAGUCGAACGGCAGCACAGUGGAGCUUGCUCCAUGGGUGGCGAGUGGCGGACGGGUGAGGAAUACAUGGGAAUCUGCCCAGUCGUGGGGAUAACGUAUGGAAACGUACGCUAAUACCGCAUGCGCCCUUCGGGGAAAGUCGGGGACCGCAAGGCCUGACGCGAUUGGAUGAGCCCAUGUUCGAUUAGCUAGUUGGCGGGGUAACGGCCCACCAAGGCGACGAUCGAUAGCUGGUCUGAGAGGAUGAUCAGCCACACUGGAACUGAGACACGGUCCAGACUCCUACGGGAGGCAGCAGUAGGGAAUAUUGGACAAUGGGCGCAAAGCCUGAUCCAGCCAUGCCGCGUGAGUGAAGAAGGCCCUCGGGUUGUAAAGCUCUUUGUUGGGGAAGAAAAGCAGUUGUUAAAUACCCGAUUGUUCUGACGGU
This 457-nucleotide ribosomal RNA is filed under the name uncultured bacterium. RNAcentral describes it as "bacterial SSU rRNA". It matches the Rfam family "Bacterial small subunit ribosomal RNA", at positions 29 to 476 of the family's 1533-position model. The record is from RNAcentral.